CCGAGAGGCAGUUUGGAAGCGAAUUGUUUGCAACUCACAAAGUCUUCACUGUGGGAUCCGAGCCUGGCUGAAAUCACAGCCCACCGGCGCCAGCUGGAAAACCCGCAAGAAGAAAAGGGGAGAGUGCCGGCAACAGGACCCCAGAUUCCUGCAGGAGAGCGCGGAGGACUCAACAGCAAGCAGGCGGCCGGCUGGGGCCAGGCGUCCCAUCCCCUGCUGGUCCUAAGCCUGGUGACUGUGGGAACCUUGAGCCCUUCCCAGCGAUGCUGUGCUGGGCACAGAA
Molecule: long non-coding RNA, 283 nt
Organism: Lepus europaeus (European hare)
Lineage: Eukaryota; Metazoa; Chordata; Mammalia; Lagomorpha; Leporidae
Exons: 3
Source: RefSeq, a predicted model, not a curated record